GUGGGGAAUUUUGGACAAUGGGCGCAAGCCUGAUCCAGCAAUGCCGCGUGCAGGAAGAAGGCCUUCGGGUUGUAAACUGCUUUUGUACGGAACGAAACGGUCCGGGUUAAUACCCUGGGCUAAUGACGGUACCGUAAGAAUAAGCACCGGCUAACUACGUGCCAGCAGCCGCGGUAAUACGUAGGGUGCAAGCGUUAAUCGGAAUUACUGGGCGGAAAGCGUGCGCAGGCGGUUUUGUAAGACAGGCGUGAAAUCCCCGGGCUCAACCUGGGAAUUGCGCUUGUGACUGCAAGGCUGGAGUGCGGCAGAGGGGGAUGGAAUUCCGCGUGUAGCAGUGAAAUGCGUAGAUAUGCGGAGGAACACCGAUGGCGAAGGCAAUCCCCUGGGCCUGCACUGACGCUCAUGCACGAAAGCGUGGGGAGCAAACAGGAUUAGAAACCCCAGUAGUCC
This 450-nucleotide ribosomal RNA is filed under the name uncultured bacterium. Its description in RNAcentral is "partial 16S ribosomal RNA". It matches the Rfam family "Bacterial small subunit ribosomal RNA", at positions 354 to 796 of the family's 1533-position model. The record is from RNAcentral.